This 478-nucleotide ribosomal RNA is filed under the name Streptococcus mitis. RNAcentral's name for it is "bacterial SSU rRNA". It matches the Rfam family "Bacterial small subunit ribosomal RNA", at positions 28 to 492 of the family's 1533-position model. The record is from RNAcentral. Lineage: Bacteria; Bacillati; Bacillota; Bacilli; Lactobacillales; Streptococcaceae.
GACGAACGCUGGCGGCGUGCCUAAUACAUGCAAGUAGAACGCUGAAGGAGGAGCUUGCUUCUCUGGAUGAGUUGCGAACGGGUGAGUAACGCGUAGGUAACCUGCCUGGUAGCGGGGGAUAACUAUUGGAAACGAUAGCUAAUACCGCAUAAUAGUAGAUGUUGCAUGACAUUUGCUUAAAAGGUGCAAUUGCAUCACUACCAGAUGGACCUGCGUUGUAUUAGCUAGUUGGUGAGGUAAUGGCUCACCAAGGCGACGAUACAUAGCCGACCUGAGAGGGUGAUCGGCCACACUGGGACUGAGACACGGCCCAGACUCCUACGGGAGGCAGCAGUAGGGAAUCUUCGGCAAUGGACGGAAGUCUGACCGAGCAACGCCGCGUGAGUGAAGAAGGUUUUCGGAUCGUAAAGCUCUGUUGUAAGAGAAGAACGAGUGUGAGAGUAGAAAGUUCACACUGUGACGUAUCUGCCAGAAAGAC